Molecule: long non-coding RNA, 571 nt
Filed under: Manacus vitellinus (golden-collared manakin)
Lineage: Eukaryota; Metazoa; Chordata; Aves; Passeriformes; Pipridae
Description: lncRNA (ENSMVIG00005011201.1)
Source: RNAcentral
GGGCUGAGGGCACCAGCUGUACCCCCGUGGGGGGCUCGGGGGGUCAGCCGUCCCCCGUCUCACUGCCCUCUCCCCCAGGCCGAGCCCCCGGUGCCGGCGGACGCGGUGCUGCGCUGGCUGCGGGCGGAGGGCGCGGACCCGCGGCCCCGGCCCAGGAGCUGCUGGGCUUGGCCUGGCGGUUGCUCCGGAGAGCGGAAGACCACGGCUUGGAGAGCUGGAACGGGCGGCGGGAGCAGGACAUGAGAGACGUGGAAAGCUACGUGGGCCACGUGCGUGCCCUGACGGAGGAGCGGGAUGCCAUCGCCUCGGAGUACGAGAGGGAGAAUGAACAGCUCAGGUUGGAGCUGGCACGGCUGCAGCUGCUCCAGGGUGGUUCCUGAUCCGAGGGCUCUCGUUGGACACUCUCGUUGGGUGUUGGUGGAGGGCAGGUCAAUGGCACCUGUGCUGUGGUGCCAAAAACCUUCCUGAAAAACAACUGGAAUGGGCAGUGAAGCACCACACUGGGGGGAGCUGCCUCCAUUUGUUUCGAAAGUGGAAUAAAAAGAAUAAAUAGUCGUGGUCUGAGCUUGUU